Anopheles funestus (African malaria mosquito) is the source of this 1017-nucleotide long non-coding RNA. RefSeq lists it as uncharacterized. The transcript has 3 exons. Lineage: Eukaryota; Metazoa; Arthropoda; Insecta; Diptera; Culicidae. The record is from RefSeq and is a predicted model, not a curated record.
GUAUGUACGCUUCCCACUUGGCAGAAAUCGCAUGAGAGGGGGGAAAUUUCUUCAUUCUCGCUACCCCUGACCCUCACUUUCGAGCGAUCGUACGACAAACUCUCACUCCACCACCCUACCUCACUCACACACGCUCCUAUAUUCUAUGUAAACCCUCACCGCAACCUGCGUCACCAACCCACCCCGCACCUGAACGGUCCCAUACUCGAAGUGUUAGACAAUUUUGGUUCCACGCUUUGAAGCCUGCCGAGGAGUGUGGCACUAUAUUGUUUUUCGCUGUCUCCUUUCUUUCACUACAAAAUUGCUUUUGCCCUGUCUUUGGCGUAUUCAUAUGAGUUUGGCCUUUGCUGGAGGCGGAGGUGUGUGCGCAAGCGUUAUCGUGUUUUGUGAAGUGAUUCUUUGCUCCGUGAAUCCCAUCGAAUCGAUCAGCUGAUGGAAAGAGUUUGCCCGUGAAGCGGAAAGAGUGAAGCCGGAGUUAAACCGCAGGAUGGCAGGACAAAUCACAUCGGAGAGAGUGCUGAAUAUUCGACGUCUUGAGAGAAACCUCUGCCGAACAUAGGCACCCCAUCCCACCGUCCGCUUCGCAGAACGCCGGCAGUUUUUUUUACCUGUUCGUCCAGCGACCGCUUGCGCAUGAUGAGCGUAGGUGCAAUAAAAAAAGGGAUCGUAUGUAUUUCCUGGUAAUUAUUUCGUUCACGGUCGUGGUGUGUUUGGGACGAGGGUGUCCCGAAUGCAGCAAUAGGAAAGAAAGGGAAAGCGAGAAAGAAAAAAAGCGAAGGAAAGAACGGGACAAAAUAAAGCUAAUUUUUUGGCUUCCAGGCUUAUUAUAAAUAAGCUUGGGAGCUUCCAUGCUUGCAAGCUUGCAUGCUCGUAUGCAAGCGUACAUACGCCCCGCCUCCUAUACCCGAUUCCCCCACCCCCGCGAACGAUCCACGAACGAGGCUUACUAAGUUGCUAGUAAGCCUUUAAUAAGCCGGCUAAUAAGCCUCAAUGUCGUACGACUUUUGCCAAGUGGGU